GAUGAACGCUGGCGGCGUGCCUAAUACAUGCAAGUCGAGCGAACAGACGAGGAGCUUGCUCCUUUGACGUUAGCGGCGGACGGGUGAGUAACACGUGGGUAACCUACCUAUAAGACUGGGAUAACUUCGGGAAACCGGAGCUAAUACCGGAUAAUAUUUCGAACCGCAUGGUUCGAUAGUGAAAGAUGGCUUUGCUAUCACUUAUAGAUGGACCUGCGCCGUAUUAGCUAGUUGGUAAGGUAACGGCUUACCAAGGCAACGAUACGUAGCCGACCUGAGAGGGUGAUCGGCCACACUGGAACUGAGACACGGUCCAGACUCCUACGGGAGGCAGCAGUAGGGAAUCUUCCGCAAUGGGCGAAAGCCUGACGGAGCAACGCCGCGUGAGUGAUGAAGGUCUUCGGAUCGUAAAACUCUGUUAUUAGGGAAGAACAAACGUGUAAGUAACUGUGCACGUCUUGACGGUACCUAAUCAGAAAGCCACGGCUAACUACGUGCCAGCAGCCGCGGUAAUACGUAGGUGGCAAGCGUUAUCCGGAAUUAUUGGGCGUAAAGCGCGCGUAGGCGGUUUUUUAAGUCUGAUGUGAAAGCCCCACGGCUCACCGUGGAGGGUCAUUGGAAACUGGAAAACUUGAGUGCAGAAGAGGAAAGUGGAAUUCCAUGUGUAGCGGUGAAAUGCGCAGAGAUAUGGAGGAACACCAGUGGCGAAGGCGACUUUCUGGUCUGUAACUGACGCUGAUGUGCGAAAGCGUGGGGAUCAAACAGGAUUAGAUACCCUGGUAGUCCACGCCGUAAACGAUGAGUGCUAAGUGUUAGGGGGUUUCCGCCCCUUAGUGCUGCAGCUAACGCAUUAAGCACUCCGCCUGGGGAGUACGACCGCAAGGUUGAAACUCAAAGGAAUUGACGGGGACCCGCACAAGCGGUGGAGCAUGUGGUUUAAUUCGAAGCAACGCGAAGAACCUUACCAAAUCUUGACAUCCUUUGACCCUUCUAGAGAUAGAAGUUUCCCCUUCGGGGGACAAAGUGACAGGUGGUGCAUGGUUGUCGUCAGCUCGUGUCGUGAGAUGUUGGGUUAAGUCCCGCAACGAGCGCAACCCUUAAGCUUAGUUGCCAUCAUUAAGUUGGGCACUCUAAGUUGACUGCCGGUGACAAACCGGAGGAAGGUGGGGAUGACGUCAAAUCAUCAUGCCCCUUAUGAUUUGGGCUACACACGUGCUACAAUGGACAAUACAAAGGGCAGCGAAACCGCGAGGUCAAGCAAAUCCCAUAAAGUUGUUCUCAGUUCGGAUUGUAGUCUGCAACUCGACUACAUGAAGCUGGAAUCGCUAGUAAUCGUAGAUCAGCAUGCUACGGUGAAUACGUUCCCGGGUCU
RNAcentral lists this ribosomal RNA (1372 nucleotides) under uncultured bacterium. Its description in RNAcentral is "bacterial SSU rRNA". It matches the Rfam family "Bacterial small subunit ribosomal RNA", at positions 28 to 1381 of the family's 1533-position model. The record is from RNAcentral.